This 768-nucleotide ribosomal RNA is filed under the name marine metagenome. RNAcentral's name for it is "bacterial SSU rRNA". It matches the Rfam family "Bacterial small subunit ribosomal RNA", at positions 323 to 1081 of the family's 1533-position model. The record is from RNAcentral.
GACACGGUCCAGACUCCUACGGGAGGCUGCAGUCGAGAAUCAUUGUCAAUGCACGAAAGUGUGAACAUGCGACGCCGCGUGGAGGAAGACGGCCUUCGGGUUGUAAACUCCUGUCAGCAGGAAGGAAAAAUCAGACGAUUAAUACUCGUUUGUUUUGACAGUACCUGCAGAGGAAGUCACGGCUAACUCUGUGCCAGCAGCCGCGGUAAUACAGAGGUGGCGAACGUUGUUCGGAUUUACUGGGCGUAAAGGGUCCGCAGGCGGUCUUGUGUGUCGGAUGUGAAAGCUCACGGCUCAACCGUGGAAUUGCAUUCGAAACUGCAAGACUAGAGUACUGGAGGGGAGAAGGGAACACUUGGUGUAGCGGUGAAAUGCGUAGAUAUCAAGUGGAACACCGGAGGCGAAGGCGCUUCUCUGGACAGAUACUGACGCUCAUGGACGAAAGUUAGGGUAGCGAAAGGGAUUAGAUACCCCUGUAGUCCUAACCGUAAACGGUGUGCGCUAGGCGUGGGUGGCUUUACCCCCAUCCGUGCCUGAGCUAACGCAUUAAGCGCACCGCCUGGGGAGUACGGUCGCAAGAUUAAAACUCAAAGGAAUUGACGGGGACCCGCACAAGCGGUGGAGCAUGCGGCUUAAUUCGAUGCAACGCGAAGAACCUUACCUGGGCUUGACAUAUAGCUGCAUACGACCCGAAAGGGACGUAGCCUUCGAGGGUGCUAUACAGGUGCUGCAUGGCUGUCGUCAGCUCGUGCCGUGAGGUGUUGGGUU